CGGUAUUGUCAGGUGAAAGCUUUCGAGUGCCAGCAAUACAUUCUUGUGGACCAACGCCGGUCCACGGACCACCAAUUGAAGACCACUGCACUACAGUACCUAGCCACACAUAAUACACCACAAACAGACACAGUUACACAUAAUAUACUAAAAACACUCACCUCUAUACACUCUCAAUCCCACAACUAGCCUCCAACCACAUACACCAGCACAGCCUUCCCACACAUGCACAACAC
Pelobates cultripes (western spadefoot toad) is the source of this 236-nucleotide non-coding RNA. Lineage: Eukaryota; Metazoa; Chordata; Amphibia; Anura; Pelobatidae. The record is from the annotation of a GenBank genome assembly.